Molecule: ribosomal RNA, 507 nt
Filed under: uncultured Glomus
Lineage: Eukaryota; Fungi; Glomeromycota; Glomeromycetes; Glomerales; Glomeraceae
Description: SSU rRNA
Rfam family: Eukaryotic small subunit ribosomal RNA
Source: RNAcentral
AGCAGCCGCGGUAAUUCCAGCUCCAAUAGCGUAUAUUAAAGUUGUUGCAGUUAAAAAGCUCGUAGUUGAAUUUCGGGGUCAGUAGGUUGGUCAUGCCACUGGUAUGUACUGGUCACACUGAUUCCUCCUUCCUGAUGAACUGUAAUGCCAUUAAUUUGGUGUUGCAGGGAAUCUGGACUGUUACUUUGAAAAAAUUAGAGUGUUUAAAGCAGGCUAACGCCUGAAUACAUUAGCAUGGAAUAAUGAAAUAGGACGUUCGAUCCUAUUUUGUUGGUUUCUAGGAUUGACGUAAUGAUUAAUAGGGAUAGUUGGGGGCAUUAGUAUUCAAUUGUCAGAGGUGAAAUUCUUGGAUUUAUUGAAGACUAACUACUGCGGAAGCAUUUGCCAAGGAUGUUUUCAUUAAUCAAGAACGAAAGUUAGGGGAUCGAAGACGAUCAGAUACCGUCGUAGUCUUAACCAUAAACUAUGCCGACUAGGGAUCGGAUGAUGUUAAUUUUUAAUGACUCU